RNAcentral lists this small RNA (624 nucleotides) under uncultured Ascomycota. Its description in RNAcentral is "eukaryotic LSU rRNA". The stretch from base 359 to 624 matches the Rfam family "Eukaryotic large subunit ribosomal RNA", at positions 1 to 281 of the family's 3401-position model. The record is from RNAcentral. Lineage: Eukaryota; Fungi; Ascomycota.
CUUGGUCAUUUAGAGGAAGUAAAAGUCGUAACAAGGUUUCCGUAGGUGAACCUGCGGAAGGAUCAUUAUAAUUGUUUUUACACCCUUUUAGGCACAAACUCUAAAUCUUAACCGUCAAAUAUUUUUUUAAAAAACUUUCAACAACGGAUCUCUUGGUUCUCGCAUCGAUGAAGAACGCAGCGAAUUGCGAUACGUAAUAUGACUUGCAGACGUGAAUCAUUGAAUCUUUGAACGCACAUUGCGCCCCGGGGUAUUCCCCAGGGCAUGCGUGGAUGAGCGAUAUUUACUCUCAAACCUCCGGUUUGGUCCUGCUUCGGCCUAAUAUCAACGGCGCUAGAAUAAGUUUUAGCCCCAUUCUUUUUCCUCACCCUCGUAAGACUACCCGCUGAACUUAAGCAUAUCAAUAAGCGGAGGAAAAGAAACCAACAGGGAUUGCCUCAGUAACGGCGAGUGAAGCGGCAAAAGCUCAAAUUUGAAAUCCCCCGGGAAUUGUAAUUUGAAGAGAUUUGGGUCCGGCCGGCGGGGGUUAAGUCCACUGGAAAGUGGCGCCACAGAGGGUGACAGCCCCGUGAACCCCUUUAACGCCCUCAUCCCAGAUCUCCAAGAGUCGAGUUGUUUGGGAAU